CAGUGGCUGACUUGUGCAUAGAAAAACUUUACAUAUGCUGGUCUUCCGAGAUAACGAGCUUUCCGGGCCCUUUUUUUACCCCAUUAACAAUCAAGCUAUCCAAACAAUACACCCUGUAGCAUUAGUCUAGGAUCCCCAGAAGCCCGUUGACCCAAAUGGUCCGUGGGUCAUUGUGACGAUACCGAUUGCAAGGCAUACAUGAGUAAUGGCAUUGUGCCUUUACUGCACUGAUAAAUCUGAUUUCAAGGCAUCCAAGACAGGGAUUGAGCGGUGAAGAUGUGUUGCAAUAUGUAAGUUAUCUCAUCCUCAUUCUUCCAAGCAACACACUUUCCUAACCAUUUUUGAAUCCAUUUCUUUCUUGUGUAACUUCAAUUAUAUCAACUUAUAUUUUGCCAAUUCACCGCCAUCUCCAAACGAGUACCAUUCCUCCCAUCCCGUCAACCUGGCUAGGACGCAGCUGGAUCAGAUGGAGGUAGGCUCUAGAUCCUGGGACUGCGCGAAGGUCUCCAACAAUAUCUCAGGGUCGUUGGGUCCAUCCGCAAGACUCAAAUCGUCUUUCUCGUUUCCAUCAUUGUUGAAUGAUAGGUUUUAAGAACUGAUACCAACGCUUAGCUCUCUCUAACCAGAGUCAGAUAGAGGAAAGCAGUUAAUACCAUGUUACUAUGGACCUAUAUACGUUUCUACACUCGCUACUACAAACUAAACGAUAUCUAGUCCCCUCAAUCUCCACUCUCUUCCCGCCCCCCCCCCCCCUUACCACAGUUACUCAACAAUCAUCAACCCUGCCAAAGCUCGUUCCUUCUGCCUGGCUUCUGGCCUCAGUUCCCUGGGCAGACAACCAGUCAUGUAGGGUCUCAGAUAUAGGCACCUUGAAUGCCCUUUGAAGCAUUUGGCGAUAAACCACACUAUCGUCCCCACAUCGACAGUGCCAUAACCUAACAACUGCCUCAGGCGAGGGGUAUGAUGGUGGUUUCAAAUGUUUCUGGAUGGAAAGCCAGAGGCUGCGAUGUUGGACUUUGAGAAGUUCUGGGAGAGUCGGUUUGUUCGGGUUAGGGUAGAAGCCCUCGGCCAGGUCGGAAGGUAAGUUGUGGGGCUCGGAGACAUUGGGUGAUUCAAACAUUUGGAUGAGCUGUUCAUCUACCAUGCCCUUUGUCGCAUGGAUUUCGGGCACGCGCAAGGUAUUGACAGUGGCGCCCUGUGUGCCCUUCGGCACCGACUGCUGGAGUCGGAACCCUAUGGAACUGUCAAGAUAUUCCCAUGGUAGGUGGAAUACCUUUGUGGGCUGUGGGCGCUCUGCGACCGGUAGACUUCGAAUGCUGUCCAAAUGGCUGUUCGGAUCUAUGAUUUCACGGUCAACUCCAAGGGGCAAAAUAUACCUAGCAGCUACCACUUACUAUAUCCGACCACCACCAAACUUCGAGGGCUACCCAUCGUGGCUCGUCUGUCCUCUCUUGCCCAUAGAGGUCGCAGAGGAUUUUGAACUCAUCGUAAUCAUUGGAACCGGUUGUCGAGUCUUCAUCGUCUUGAGAGUCCGUUGUGUUUCGGUUGGAAGACAAGCCAUGGACGGUUGCCUCCGUGUGACCGACAAGCAGCAAUAAUUUUAGGAUCCCUCGCUUGAAUGCAGCCCAAAUAAGUUCGGUCUCCCGGCAUUGGGCGAAGGGAAUGUUGAAGUUAGAUUCGAUCCCAUGUACUCAACUGUAUGUUAGAUGUUGUUCGAUAUGAUGAUUAAGGUCUUAGUAAACACUUUCGGGGUUAACCCUGGCACGAAUCUCGUUGCUCCUUCGAUUUUGUUUUGUUUUGUUUUUUAUUUUUUUAUUUUUCAUCUUCGCGAUGCCUUACAGGUAUUAGUCGUUUCCUUUUAUGAAUCUCUUCCCGG
Molecule: small RNA, 1876 nt
Filed under: Cryptococcus neoformans H99
Lineage: Eukaryota; Fungi; Basidiomycota; Tremellomycetes; Tremellales; Cryptococcaceae
Description: Cryptococcus neoformans var. grubii H99 hypothetical RNA
Source: RNAcentral